CCUUUAUUAUUUCCUUCCUUAAAAUUUUGCUUUGGAUUUUUCUCUUCUUUUUCUGCUUUCUUGGGGUAAGACUUAGGUCACUUAUUGGAGACCUUUCCUUAUUUUUAACAUAAGCAUUUAGUGCCAUAAAUUACCCUUUCAACACUGUUUUGGCUGCAUUCCACCUAUUUCGAUAUAUUACUUUUUCAUUCAGCUAUACCUAAUUUUUAAAAUCUUUUGAGACAUCCAAUAGAUUAUUUAAAAGUGUGUGAAUUUCAAUAAAUUUAGAGAUUUUUCUGUUGUCUUUCUGAUAAUGAUUUCUAAUUUGAUUCCAUUUCUUUCAGAAAAUACUCAGUGUACUAUUUCAAUCUAUUAUGUUUGUUGAGCUUUGUUAAUGGGGAAUGUUCAGCCAAAUUACUUUAAAUACUCUUUCAGCCACUUUCUUUUUCUUCUCCAUCUGUUGGACCUUUUAUUAUUGUCUCAUAGGUCUCUGAGACUCUGCUUAUUUUUUUUUUUUUUGAGACUGUUUUCUCUGUUGUAAAUAUCAGAUGAAUUCUGUUGAUAUGUCCUCAAGUUUACUGAGUCUAUCUUUUGUCAUUCCACUUUACUAUUGAAAUGAUCCAGUGAAUUUUUAUCUAUGUUACUGUAUUUUUUAUUUUUAUAAUUUUCAUUAGGUUCUUUAACUUCUAUUUAUUUUUCCAUUUAUUUCAAGAUAAUUUGUAGUUGAUUAUUGAAGCAUUAUUAUGCAGGCUGCCUUAAAAUCCUUGUCAGAUAUUUUCAACAUCAAAUCUAUCUCAGUGUUGACUUCAGUUGAUUAUUAUUUAUUUCAUUCAAGUUGUGAUUUUCUUGACUCUUGAUCUGACCAGUGAUUUUUGUAUUGAGUCCUGGACAUUUAGUUUGUUAUGUUAGGAGACUCUUGGUCCCACUUAUUUUACUAGGCAGACGUCCCAUUUAAGGUUAGUAUUUGAUCUUGGCCUACUUCUGUGGGCUCUAGUAUCAACAGCAGCUUAGCUUUCAGCACUUCUGCAGUGUUAUUUCAGUUUGCUUAGUUUAUCUGGUGUCACCUGGGGCUCCCAUGGUCCCCACUGGUGCUAGAUGAGUGGCAGAAGGGUUUCCCUGAGGCAGGAAGCCAGGUGUCUCUUAGAGGUGAAGUGGUACAGUGGGUCCUCUCCUCCCCUCCCACCGGUGCUGUCCAAGAUACCCCAAUAUCUUGAGAUGCCCAGAUCAGUGGGGACAAUGAAGAUUUCUGGACUACUCAGUUUGCUAUGAGGGUUUCCUUUUGCCGGUUCCAUGCACAGGCCUGAUGUCUCUUGAUGGAGGAAGAGGCUUCUUAAACUGGGGUACUUGCAGGGACUGGGUCACAUAUAGUUGUCUUCCCUGCCCACUUCACUGUCUCUGUGUGGUGAAGACAUGUCUCAGACCUGUGGAGAUAUAAAUAUAAAGGCUUUCUGGACCAGGCCACUACAUGUGAUUUCAUUCCUUUUCCUAUUCUACCUGCCCACUCUGUUAUCUCUGGGUAAAAGAGGAGAAUAUCAGAUCCAUGGGAACAAAGAGGCUGCCCAGAUCAGAGUGCAUGCUGCAGCUGAGUCUCUCUUAUGGUUCUACCUGUCACUGUAGUAUCUUUCCUUGAAAAAGGAAAGUGUUCUCCCACCAAAUUCUCCUUGCCAAUGGAUUCUCCUUGCCAAUGGAGUCAGGCUCACCUGAUAUUGCUGGGGAGGAAUGAGUCUGCCUGGCCUCCUUCUUUUGCAGGGUCAAGGUUCAGGAAAUGCAGAGUCAGUCUCACCUUCUUCUUAGGUGGGAGGAAGCAAGACAUAGGGUGCUGUGUGGUUCCUCCAGUCCUGGUGUCCUAAACCAGCUCACUUUCUUCUUACAGACUUUCAGAGUUUUUAUUUAGUUAUCUUGUGCACCAUUUCCUGGGUUUAGAGUUGUGCUUUGGGGAGAAGCAGGAAAAAAAAUAUCUGUCUACACCAUCUUGUCAGGAUCAGAAAUCUUGAAUCAAAUUAAUUCUUUUAAUCCUAAUAUUAGUUAUGUUACUCAUAUGCUCAAAACUUUCCAGUGGUUUUCCCUAUCAUUCAGAGAAAAAAAAUUCACAAUGGUCUGUUAGGUUGUGUAUUUAUUACCUGGUUUCCCCAUAAACUUUUUCCCUCCUAUCUCUCUGUCCCUGACACUUUGGCCUCCCUGCUACUCUUCAAACAUUCCAGACAUGUGGCACAAGGCAGAAGUUUGUUGCUUGAUGUUGCCUUUAGCUGAAAUUCUCUUUCCUCACUAUCAGCAUGACCACCUCACUCAUUUAUUUUAUUCAGUUCUCCAUGCCAAUGUCGUUCUACCAGAGGACCUCUCCUAUCCUUAAUUUUUCUUCAUAACAUUAUUGCCACUUGGCCUUCUUUUUCAUUUACUUUAUCUUUUUUUUUUUUUUCUGUCUUUUUGCCUUUUCUAGGGCCCCUCCUGUGGCACAUGGAGGUUGCCAGGCUAGGGGUCUAAUCAGAGCUGUAGCCGCUGGCCUACGGCAGAGCCACAGCAAUGCGGGAUCCAAGCUGUAUCUGCAACCUACACCAUAGCUCAUGGCAAUGCCGGAUCCUUAACCCACUGAGCAAGGCCAGGGUUCGAACCUGCAACCUCAUGGUUCCUAAUCGGAUUCGUUACCCCACUGAGCCAUGACAGGAACUCCAACAUUUGCUUAUUUUUUUAGCUCUAUAGGUUAGAGAUUAUUUUAUUCACUGCUUCAUAUCCAGCUCUUCAGUUAGUGCCUGGCAGAUAGUAGGUACACACAGUAACAUUUAUUAAAUUUAUGAUUCAAUUUAUUAAAAGCCAACUUCCCUUCAAAUUUCUUAACUUCUCAACUACCUCUCUUGUCUCCAUUCCUUGCCCUGCCUACUCUACCUUCUUGGUGAUAUUCUGUUUGAAUUUUAAUAAUUAUGAAAAAGAAAGAAAAGAUUUAAAGAUACAUAUUUCUACAGGAGCAUGUGGGUAUAUAGUUACAAAUUUUUAAGUCAUUUACUUAUUCUUCCUUACCUUUGAGCAUUUUUCUGAUUUUUUUUUCCUUUUAACUGAUACAUUUCUUACAAUAAUGAUGUCUGAGGUGAUAUUUAUAUGGGGAAACUUCUGAGACCUUGCAAAAUUAGAAUUUAACUCACUUUACCUUUGCAUUUAAAUGAAGGAUAUAAAUAUUGAGGUGUGAAGGUUUUUGUCUCCUUACAAUUUUUAAAUUAUUACUCCAUUAUCUUCCUGCAUGAAGUUUUAACAUUGAGAAGUCCAAUGGCUCUGCUUCUGUUGUUAAUUUUCUUAAAUAUAUUACACUGUCAUCAGGGAAUAUAUCCUGUAAAAUUAUAGGCAGUUUCUAGUUUAUUGAUUUUUCUUUUUGACCAAAGUUGCUCUAUAAGAUUUCAAAUGAUUCAUGUGUUUUUAAAAAUAAAGUAUAUUUCCCAGCUAUUGGCUAUAAAGUUCACAUAUACCAAUUAUGAUAUUUAAAUUUGUUAUGUUUUAUCUGCUUUAUUAUAGAUUUAAUUUUUUUAAAGGUGUUUAACUCUCAACUUGUGAUUAGGAAAUAUCCCAUUACUCUUUGAAAUUUUGUUGAGUUUUUGGCAUGUAUUUAAAUUUACUCAGUAAACCCCUAUAGACUAAUAAAUGAUAGGUACUUUUGUGGAUUGUUAUUCUUAUUCCUAUUAUGGCCUUCUGGGCUUGAAAUUUCUAGUAUCUACUGAUGUACUUUUUAUUAGAAUCCCCUCCUUACCCAUAUUAUUUUAAUUGUUUAUUUUCAACCUUAUUUUAUCAUUUUAUUUUAGGUAGGGCUAUCGGUAUAUAGCAAGAUUUUUGUCUAAUCAAAAAUUUCGUUUUAAUUAGAGGUAUUUUAAGAGUUCCUGUUGUGGCUCAAUGGGUUAAGGACCCAAUGUCCCUGUGAAGAUGUUGUUUCAGUCCCUGGCCUCACUCAGUGGGUUAAAGAUCCAGCAUUGCCAUGAGCUGUGGUAUAGGUCACAGAUGCAGCUCAGAUCUGGUGUUGCUGAGGCUGUAGCGUAGGACACUGCUAUAGCUCCAAAUAGACCCAUGGCCUGAGAACUUCCAUAUGCCACAGGUGCAGUUGUAAAAAGGACAUUUUUGAGUUCCCUUAUGGCUCAGAGGAUUAAAGAUCUGGCCUUGUCACUGCUGUGGUACGAGUUUGAUCCCUGGCACAGGAACUUCUGCAUACUGCAGGCAUGGCCAAAAAAUAAAUAAGUGGAGAAAGUUUACUAUUAACUUUCACUGAAAAUAUUUUCAUUUAUUUCUACAUUUUGUUUCAAGAAAGCAUUCUCUUCUUUUAUCUCUUUCUGUACAUGUAUUAUAUUUCUUUCAAAAUUUUUCUCCAUUUUUGUGUUUUGGAAAACACAUAACUCCUAUUUGUGUGUUAGCUGAAAGCUUGGAUGUUUAAUAUUCUGAUUCUUAUACUUUAUACCUCUCAUUCUUUGUAUUGGUUUCCUUCAAACAUUUAAGAUGACAUUUGUCUUUACCUUACCUUGCUCCCAGAAUUUGGGGUCUAUGGGGUAACUUGGGCCUGAGAGAAGUUUGUUACUACAUGAUGUUCUAGAUACUGGAGAAAUUCAUUCCUCCUAUAGGUCACCACCAUAGAGGGCUGAUGGGCAUUGCCUUUCCUUCUCUACCCUAUAUAUUCCACUCAAUGCAUCUGUGUGAAAACAACGCCUAGUGCUGAGUACAAAUGGAUUUAAGAGGGAAAAGUAAGGGAAAAAUAACUCUCAGUGUGACUAUUCUAAAUUCAAUUUCUGAAACAAUCCCCUGUAGCAUUGCCACUGCUCAUGAAGCAUUCACAAAUUAACUCCCACCUUUCCCCAAAAUGUUCUAUAUAUCGUGUAUUCUAGAUUGUUUUUCCUACUUCAAUUUAGUCACAUCAGUUUUCAAUUUUUUAAAAACAUUUCUCAAACCUGUUCAGUGGGUCAAAGAUCUGGUGUUGCUGCAGACUGUGGUAUAGGUCACAGAUGCAGCUCGGAUCUGGCGUUGCUGUGACUGUGGAGUAUGCCAGCAGCUGCAGCUCUGAUUUGACC
RNAcentral lists this long non-coding RNA (5009 nucleotides) under Sus scrofa (pig). Its description in RNAcentral is "lncRNA (ENSSSCG00025015807.1)". The record is from RNAcentral. Lineage: Eukaryota; Metazoa; Chordata; Mammalia; Artiodactyla; Suidae.